Molecule: long non-coding RNA, 258 nt
Organism: Malurus melanocephalus (red-backed fairy wren)
Lineage: Eukaryota; Metazoa; Chordata; Aves; Passeriformes; Maluridae
Exons: 3
Source: RefSeq, a predicted model, not a curated record
GGGGGGGUCUCUGGGUGAAUUUUUGGGGCUCUCCAGGCAUUUCUACAAACCCAUGCUGAGGAGGGGGGUCAGCAAGUGGACGGCGCAGACGGCCGUGUUCCUCGCCUCCGCCUUCUUCCAUGAGUACCUGGUGAGCGUCCCCCUGAGAAUGUUCCGGCUCUGGGCCUUCAUGGGAAUGGCGGCGCAGAUUCCUCUGGCCUGGGUGGUGUCCCGAUUUCUCCGGGGGAAUUACAGGAACGCCGCCGUGUGGAUGUCGCU